RNAcentral lists this ribosomal RNA (473 nucleotides) under uncultured bacterium. RNAcentral describes it as "bacterial SSU rRNA". It matches the Rfam family "Bacterial small subunit ribosomal RNA", at positions 335 to 800 of the family's 1533-position model. The record is from RNAcentral.
ACUCCUACGGGAGGCAGCAGUAGGGAAUCUUCCACAAUGGGCGCAAGCCUGAUGGAGCAACACCGCGUGAGUGAAGAAGGGUUUCGGCUCGUAAAGCUCUGUUGUUAAAGAAGAACACGUAUGAGAGUAACUGUUCAUACGUUGACGGUAUUUAACCAGAAAGUCACGGCUAACUACGUGCCAGCAGCCGCGGUAAUACGUAGGUGGCAAGCGUUAUCCGGAUUUAUUGGGCGUAAAGAGAGUGCAGGCGGUUUUCUAAGUCUGAUGUGAAAGCCUUCGGCUUAACCGGAGAAGUGCAUCGGAAACUGGAUAACUUGAGUGCAGAAGAGGGUAGUGGAACUCCAUGUGUAGCGGUGGAAUGCGUAGAUAUAUGGAAGAACACCAGUGGCGAAGGCGGCUACCUGGUCUGCAACUGACGCUGAGACUCGAAAGCAUGGGUAGCGAACAGGAUUAGAUACCCUGGUAGGCUAGAC